UACGAAGGGGGCUAGCGUUGUUCGGAUUUACUGGGCGUAAAGCGCACGUAGGCGGAUCGAUCAGUCAGGGGUGAAAUCCCAGAGCUCAACUCUGGAACUGCCUUUGAUACUGUCGAUCUGGAGUAUGGAAGAGGUGAGUGGAAUUCCGAGUGUAGAGGUGAAAUUCGUAGAUAUUCGGAGGAACACCAGUGGCGAAGGCGGCUCACUGGUCCAUUACUGACGCUGAGGUGCGAAAGCGUGGGGAGCAAAC
This 250-nucleotide ribosomal RNA is filed under the name uncultured bacterium. RNAcentral's name for it is "partial 16S ribosomal RNA". It matches the Rfam family "Bacterial small subunit ribosomal RNA", at positions 524 to 773 of the family's 1533-position model. The record is from RNAcentral.